Long non-coding RNA from Drosophila gunungcola (fruit fly), 526 nucleotides. RefSeq lists it as uncharacterized. The record is from RefSeq and is a predicted model, not a curated record. NCBI's taxonomy places the organism in Eukaryota, Metazoa, Arthropoda, Insecta, Diptera, Drosophilidae. The transcript is spliced from 3 exons.
AGGAGCCAGCGAAUGGAGGGAGACUUUUUGGCCAAGAAACUUAACCAACCGGACGGCAAGUUGAGUGCGAUAAAUGCGCAAUCGGAACGUGACUUAGCCGUGGCCAACAAUCACCCAAAAAAACACGAUAAAAAACAACACCGAAACGUACUCAAAUUAAAGUCAAGCGAAGUGCAACUGCAACUGUCGAGAAGUCGAGGCAAUUGCCACUGCUAACUGCAAUCUUGAGGUUGACCAGCUAGCCAAUACUAACGGCCAAUAGAGAAAAAGAAGCAUUUUGCAGCGCCAAGAAAUGGAGCCAACAUGUUGAGGUUAUAAGUAAGGGGUAAUUGAGAGUUGUCUGUGCCACUGGAAACUUCGCUCAGAACAGCUGCAAAAAGUGUUCAAUCCGCUUUGACUUCGUCUCCCAGAAUUCAUUUGUUUUGCUUGCCUUCAAAUUGCAGUUGCCGCUGUCCUUCAAUUGCAACAACGCCCUGUCCAAAAAACUACACUAUUCAAUAAUAAAUAGACGUCGAAUUAGUACCCU